Molecule: ribosomal RNA, 159 nt
Filed under: uncultured bacterium
Lineage: Bacteria
Description: partial 16S ribosomal RNA
Rfam family: Bacterial small subunit ribosomal RNA
Source: RNAcentral
UCGUGGAUCAGCAUGCCACGGUGAAUACGUUCCCGGGUCUUGUACACACCGCCCGUCACACCAUGGGAGCUGGUAACACCCGAAGUCAGUAGUCUAACCGCAAGGAGGACGCUGCCGAAGGUGGGAUUAGCGACUGGGGUGAAGUCGUAACAAGGUAGC